AUACCCGCUGAACUUAAGCAUAUCAAUAAGCGGAGGAAAAGAAACCAACAGGGAUUGCCUCAGUAACGGCGAGUGAAGCGGCAACAGCUCAAAUUUGAAAUCUGGCCUCGGCCCGAGUUGUAAUUUGUAGAGGAAGCUUUUGGUGCGGCACCGACCGAGUCCCCUGGAACGGGGCGCCAUAGAGGGUGAGAGCCCCGUAUGGUUGGACGCCUAUCCUCUGUAAAGCUCCUUCGACGAGUCGAGUAGUUUGGGAAUGCUGCUCAAAAUGGGAGGUAAAUUUCUUCUAAGGCUAAAUACCGGCCAGAGACCGAUAGCGCACAAGUAGAGUGAUCGAAAGAUGAAAAGCACUUUGAAAAGAGGGUUAAAUAGCACGUGAAAUUGUUGAAAGGGAAGCGCUUGUGACCAGACUUGCGCCCCGUCGAUCAUCCGGGGUUCUCCCCGGUGCGCUCGGCGGGGCUCAGGCCAGCAUCGGUUUUCGCGGGGGGACAAAGGUCCCGGGAACGUGGCUCCUCCGGGAGUGUUAUAGCCCGGGGCGCAAUGCCCUCGCGGGGACCGAGGACCGCGCUUCGGCAAGGAUGCUGGCGUAAUGGUCAUCAGCGACCCGUCUUGAAACACGGACCAAGGAGUCAAGGUUUUGCGCGAGUGUUUGGGUGUAAAACCCGCACGCGUAAUGAAAGUGAACGUAGGUGAGAGCUUCGGCGCAUCAUCGACCGAUCCUGAUGUAUUCGGAUGGAUUUGAGUAGGAGCGUUAAGCCUUGGACCCGAAAGAUGGUGAACUAUGCUUGGAUAGGGUGAAGCCAGAGGAAACUCUGGUGGAGGCUCGCAGCGGUUCUGACGUGCAAAUCGAUCGUCAAAUCUGAGCAUGGGGGCGAAAGACUAAUCGAACCAUCUAGUAGCUGGUUACCGCCGAAGUUUCCCUCAGGAUAGCAGUGUUGUUCUUCAGUUUUAUGAGGUAAAGCGAAUGAUUAGGGACUCGGGGGCGCUCUUUAGCCUUCAUCCAUUCUCAAACUUUAAAUAUGUAAGAAGCCCUUGUUGCUUAAUUGAACGUGGGCAUUCGAAUGUACCAACACUAGUGGGCCAUUUUUGGUAAGCA
Molecule: ribosomal RNA, 1093 nt
Filed under: Triangularia striata
Lineage: Eukaryota; Fungi; Ascomycota; Sordariomycetes; Sordariales; Podosporaceae
Description: eukaryotic LSU rRNA
Rfam family: Eukaryotic large subunit ribosomal RNA
Source: RNAcentral